This 442-nucleotide ribosomal RNA is filed under the name uncultured bacterium. RNAcentral's name for it is "bacterial SSU rRNA". It matches the Rfam family "Bacterial small subunit ribosomal RNA", at positions 32 to 469 of the family's 1533-position model. The record is from RNAcentral.
AAUCAACGCUGGCGGCGUGCCUCAGACAUGCAAGUCGAACGAUUAAAGCUCUCUUCGGAGAGUGCAUAGAGUGGCGCACGGGUGAGUAAUACAUCGGAACGUACCCAGUUGUGGGGGAUAACGAGUCGAAAGAUUCGCUAAUACCGCAUACGACCUGAGGGUGAAAGCGGGGGACCGUAAGGCCUCGCGCAAUUGGAGCGGCCGAUGUCUGAUUAGCUAGUUGGUGGGGUAAAGGCUCACCAAGGCGACGAUCAGUAGCUGGUCUGAGAGGAUGAUCAGCCACACUGGAACUGAGACACGGUCCAGACUCCUACGGGAGGCAGCAGUGGGGAAUUUUGGACAAUGGGGGGCAACCCUGAUCCAGCCAUGCCGCGUGCGGGAAGAAGGGCCUUCGGUUGUAACCGACUUUGUCAGGAGAACGGUACUGCGCUAAUACCGCGGG